GCAGGGCUGCGGGGUGCGUGCGAGCAAUGCGACCCGGGGGCCUAUAAGAUCCGCACGGGAGCUGUCCCUGUCCGGGAUCGUGGUCUUGGACACACGGCGCCCACCUACAUCUCGUAGGGACCGCGCGGGAUCGCCGCUCGUACGGCUUUCGCGGCUCUGCU
RNAcentral lists this non-coding RNA (161 nucleotides) under Hyphomicrobiaceae bacterium. RNAcentral describes it as "6S RNA". It matches the Rfam family "6S / SsrS RNA". From Rfam's summary of the family: E. coli 6S RNA was the first non coding RNA to be sequenced, but its function was unknown until recently. Lineage: Bacteria; Pseudomonadati; Pseudomonadota; Alphaproteobacteria; Hyphomicrobiales; Hyphomicrobiaceae. The record is from RNAcentral.